RNAcentral lists this ribosomal RNA (501 nucleotides) under uncultured bacterium. RNAcentral describes it as "bacterial SSU rRNA". It matches the Rfam family "Bacterial small subunit ribosomal RNA", at positions 1 to 507 of the family's 1533-position model. The record is from RNAcentral.
CACGAGUUUGAUCCUGGCUCAGAUUGAACGCUGGCGGCAUGCUUUACACAUGCAAGUCGAACGGUAACAGGCCUUCGGGUGCUGACGAGUGGCGAACGGGUGAGUAAUGCAUCGGAACGUGCCCAAUCGUGGGGGAUAACGUAGCGAAAGUUACGCUAAUACCGCAUAAGCCCUGAGGGGGAAAGUGGGGGACCGCAAGGCCUCACGCGAAUGGAGCGGCCGAUGUCAGAUUAGCUAGUUGGUGGGGUAAAGGCCCACCAAGGCGACGAUCUGUAGCGGGUCUGAGAGGAUGAUCCGCCACACUGGGACUGAGACACGGCCCAGACUCCUACGGGAGGCAGCAGUGGGGAAUUUUGGACAAUGGGCGCAAGCCUGAUCCAGCCAUGCCGCGUGCGGGACGAAGGCCUCGGUUGUAACCGCUUUCAGCCGGAACGAAUACGCCGUUUUAAUUACAGACGGUGGAUGACGGUACCGGAAGAAGAAGCACCGGCUAACUACGUG